AUUGAACGCUGGCGGCAGGGCUAACACAUGCAAGUCGAGCGGAUGAAGGGAGCUUGCUCUUGGAUUUAGCGGCGGACGGGGGAGUAAUGCCUAGGAAACUGCCGGGUCGGGGGGGAUAACGCCCGGAAAGGGCCGCUAAUAGCGCGUCCGCGCUGUGGCAGAAGGGGGGGAGUCAAUGGAGCUCUCGGCUUUGGAUAAGGCUAGCGCGCGUUGGCCAGUUGGUGGGGUAAAGGGCUACCCAGGGGAAGAACGGCAACGGGGCUGAUGGGAGGAGCAGUCACACUGGAACUGAGACACGGUCCAGACUCCUACGGAAGGCAGCAGUGGGGAAUCUUGGGGAAUGGGCGAAAACCUGACCCAGCCAUGCCGCGUGUGUGACGAAGGUCUUCGGAUUGUAAAGCACGUUAAGUUGGGAGGAAGGGCAUUAAAUUAAUACCUUGCUGUUUUGACGUUACCAACAGAAUAAGCACCGGCUAACUUCGUG
This 484-nucleotide ribosomal RNA is filed under the name uncultured bacterium. RNAcentral's name for it is "partial 16S ribosomal RNA". It matches the Rfam family "Bacterial small subunit ribosomal RNA", at positions 29 to 507 of the family's 1533-position model. The record is from RNAcentral.